GCCUAGUCAAGGUUGUCGUUCGUUGGUUCCGAUCCAAGCGACAUCCAUUAUUUCCGGCCAAGAUCUCGUUCAGUUGAUGAUGUUUUGUAAUUCAAAGCUUUGAGGUCUGGCAUGAGCAUGACAGGCACCCAGGACCAUCUGGUCAGGACCGUUGCACCUAGGAAUUGCUUGAGGAGAUUUUUUAUGUUUUGAGUCUGGCAUGAGCAUGACAGGCACCCAAGACCAUCUGGUCAGGACCGUUGCACCUAGGAAUUGCUUGAGGAGAUUUUUUAUGUUUUGAGUCUGGCAUGAGCAUGACAGGCACCCAAGACCAUCUGGUUAGGACAGUUGCACCUAGGAGUUGCUUGAGGAGAUUUUUUAUGUUUUGAGUCUGUUUCUUUUUAUGUUGUCUUGUGCUUUAUUGCCUUGUUAUUUGCGGAUGAUAUAGUCCUAAUUGAUGAGACGCGAGGUGGCGUUAACAAGAGGCUGGAGGUCUGGAGACAUACCCUGGAGUCUAAGGGUUUCGAGUUGAGCAGGACCAAGGCAGAAUACUUAGAGUGCAAGUUCAUCGGUGUUACCAGGAGGCGGAUGGGGAUAUGAAACUCGAUACGCAAGUCAUUUCCAAGAGAGAGAGUUUUAAGUAUCUGGGAUCUAUAAUUCAGAAGGAUGGGGAAAUAGAUGAUGAUGUCACGCACCGUAUCGGAGCAGGGUGGCUGAAGUGGAGGCUCGCUUCCGGUGUCUUAUGUGAUAAUAAUGUGCCAUUGAGACUUAAGGGUAAGUUCUACAAGGUAGUGGUUACACCGACUAUGUUGUAUGAGGCAGAGUGUUGGCCAGUCAAAAAUUUUCAUGUCUAGCAGAUCAAGGUAGCGGAAAUGAGGAUGUUGAGAUGGAUGUGUGGGCAUACUAGGUUAGAUAGAACUAGGAAUGAAGUUAUUCGAGACAUGGUGGGAGUGGCGCCUAUGGAGGCAAAGAUGUGUGAUUCAAGGUUGAGAUGGUUCGGGUAUGUUAAGAGGAUAAGCGCAGAUGCCCCUAUCAGGAGAUGUGAGAGGUUGGCCUUAGGAGGUGAGAGGAGGGGUAGAGGUAGGCCAAAAAAGUCUUGGGAGGAGGUGAUCAGGCGGGAUAUAGUGCUACUUGAACUAACCGAGGACACGAUUCUAGAUAAAAGGGUGUGGAGGUUGAAGAUUAGGGUAGAAGGUUAGUAGGUAGUUGUGCAUCUCCCAUUGUCUUCUCUAGCUCGAUAGUAUUAGCGCUAGUACGGUACUCUUUUUUCCUUAGUUUGCUAUAUUCGCAUGUCUCAUUUUGUUGUUACUUGCCAUUGGUAAUUCCAUAGUUUGCUAGCAGUACUUCGUUCAUAUUCUCGUCUGCUGCCUUGGAAUUAGUUUUCUAAAUAUGUUAUCUUGCUACUACUUGUUAUCAGUACCCCUUUCAUAUUAUCUGUUGUUAUCUCCGAUUUAGUUUUCUAAUUAUUAUUUUUCUAUUACUUGCUACCAGGGCAUCUCUCACCUUCUUUAGCCGGGGGUCUAUGGAAAGCAGUCUUUCUGCCCUUCUAGGGUAGGGGUAAGGCUGCAUACAUCCUACCAUCCCCAGACCCAACUUGUGGGACCACACUGGGUUGUUGUUGUUAUUGUUGUUGUUAUGCUUUAUCGUCAUGUCCAGUAAUAAUGAUUCUUUUAGUUGGUGUAAGAGUUUGUCGUAGUAUAGUUGAUGUUUAUCAAGUCUCUCAUUAUCGUAUCCUAUUUUGUAUUUCAAAAUCAUAAAAAAAAGUUGUAAAUGAAAAUCCAAAAAAAAUUA
Nicotiana tabacum (common tobacco) is the source of this 1770-nucleotide non-coding RNA. The record is from RefSeq and is a predicted model, not a curated record. Lineage: Eukaryota; Viridiplantae; Streptophyta; Magnoliopsida; Solanales; Solanaceae.